UUUGUACUCCCUCCGUCCCGAAAAGCUUGUCCCGCAAAUGUAUGUAUCUAGCACCAAGUUAGUGCUAGAUACAUCUAUUUGAUGGACAAGUUUGGGACAAGUUUUUUCGGACAGAGGGAGCAGUAC
Non-coding RNA from Triticum aestivum (bread wheat), 126 nucleotides. Lineage: Eukaryota; Viridiplantae; Streptophyta; Magnoliopsida; Poales; Poaceae. The record is from Rfam.